Molecule: ribosomal RNA, 506 nt
Filed under: uncultured bacterium
Lineage: Bacteria
Description: partial 16S ribosomal RNA
Rfam family: Bacterial small subunit ribosomal RNA
Source: RNAcentral
AGUGAACGCUUGCGGUAGGCCUAACACAUGCAAGUCGAACGGCAGCACAGAGGAGCUUGCUCCUUGGGCGGCGAGUGGUGGACGGGUGAGGAAUACAUCGGAAUCUACUCUGUCGUGGGGGAUAACGUAGGGAAACUUACGCUAAUACCGCAGACGACCUACGGGUGAAAGCAGGGGAUCUUCGGACCUUGCGCGAUUGAAUGAGCCGAUGUCGGAUUAGCUAGUUGGCGGGGUAAAGGCCCACCAAGGCGACGAUCCGUAGCUGGUCUGAGAGGAUGAUCCGCCACACUGGAACUGAGACACGGUCCAGACUCCUACGGGAGGCAGCAGGGGGGAAUAUCGGACAAUGGGCGCAAGCCUGAUCCAGCCAUACCGCGUGGGUGAAGAAGGCCUUCGGGUUGUAAAGCCCUUUUGUUGGGAAAGAAAUCCAGCUGGCUAAUACCCGGUUGGGAUGACGGUACCCAAAGAAUAAGCACCGGCUAACUUCGUGCCAGCCGCCGCCGUAA